RNAcentral lists this ribosomal RNA (545 nucleotides) under uncultured Kluyveromyces. RNAcentral describes it as "eukaryotic LSU rRNA". It matches the Rfam family "Eukaryotic large subunit ribosomal RNA", at positions 62 to 648 of the family's 3401-position model. Lineage: Eukaryota; Fungi; Ascomycota; Saccharomycetes; Saccharomycetales; Saccharomycetaceae. The record is from RNAcentral.
AAACCAACCGGGAUUGCCUUAGUAACGGCGAGUGAAGCGGCAAAAGCUCAAAUUUGAAAUCUGGCGUCUUCGACGUCCGAAUUGUAAUUUGAAGAAGGCAACUUUGUAGCUGGUCCUUGUCUAUGUUCCUUGGAACAGGACGUCAUAGAGGGUGAGAAUCCCGUGUGGCGAGGAUCCCAGUUAUUUGUAAAGUGCUUUCGACGAGUCGAGUUGUUUGGGAAUGCAGCUCUAAGUGGGUGGUAAAUUCCAUCUAAAGCUAAAUAUUGGCGAGAGACCGAUAGCGAACAAGUACAGUGAUGGAAAGAUGAAAAGAACUUUGAAAAGAGAGUGAAAAAGUACGUGAAAUUGUUGAAAGGGAAGGGCAUUUGAUCAGACAUGGCGUUUGCUUCGGCUUUCGCUGGGCCAGCAUCAGUUUUAGCGGUCGGAUAAAUCCUCGGGAAUGUGGCUCUGCUUCGGUAGAGUGUUAUAGCCCGUGGGAAUACAGCCAGCUGGGACUGAGGAUUGCGACUUUUGUCAAGGAUGCUGGCGUAAUGGUUAAAUGCCGC